GAAAGGCAGUGGGACCAAAAGGGAGUUAAUAGAAGCAGUACUCACUAAUCCUUCCCUGUUCUUAAGGAUUCAGAUCAAUCAAGGAGCACAAGUUUCAGGCAAUGCCACGCACUCAAGGCUCUGCUGCAAUGUGGGGACUCUUGACAAUAUUUGUCUGCAUGUAGAGAGAUGGGCAUGAAGAAAAAACAGAUUCCCUAUCAUCAUCUUCUCAGAACAACAAUGUGGAAAGCAGACCAUCUGAGGUACUAGGACAGGUGAAGUGGAUCCGUCUGGCCCUGCUAAAAUUGAACAGAUUCCACUGUGCAGAGCAAAGAAGCACCAUCUACUGCUGCCAAAUCAGAUCAAUUCCUUUGUGCCUUAGGCGAAUGCCUGCUUUGUAAGCAAAGAAGAGAAUCUAUAUUCUAGCAGCCCUUCCGUUCCAAGUACGGAGCCUCAAUCCAUGGAAUAUAACCCAAAGCACAAGGAUCUUCUCUGGAUUUCUCUACUUUGCCCUAUUUGCUUAUGCUGCUGGGGCAUCACAUUUAGGUCGAAGCCAUUCCCUUUAGCAGGCUCAGCACAAAGAAUUUCACACUCCUCCUGGAGGAUGCUUGUUUCCCUCAUACCAGAGGACAGCAAUGCACCUAGGGGGUCUCCAUGCCUGGCCCCAAGCUCAGAGGUUGCUACCACAACCAGAAGGGACCCUCAGUACUACUCCUAACAGCUUCCCAAAACACCAGACCCAGCUGAGUACUUGGUGCUCUUGCACCAGUCCCUCUUCCCAUAUUUUGUCUUUGCCCUAAGCUAAGGGCUGCUGGGACAAGAUAAUACCAUGUGACAAACUCAGGGAUACUGGACAGCACAGCAUGGGAUUAAUCUCACCUCACCCUGCCACACACCCCUGAAACUAAGCUGCCUUCCACAACAGGACAGCCAAGUUCGCCCCUCCAGACCACCCCAAGCUGUGUACACUGCUUUUCCAGUUAGCAGUCAGGCUUUUUGCUACCCCCAAAGCCUAUCACAGCCAAAGCAGAACAAGGACAUUACCCAGGCAUCAGCUGUGCAGGUCAAGAAGAGACAGCCACCCUCUUAGAAUCAUACAAUAUCUGAACUAUGAGCCCCCCCAAAAGCCAACACCAAGGCGAGGUCUGAAGCAAUGCUCAUGAAGAACACAGUCUAAACCUGUUCCUUCCACACCAGUGUGUUCUGAAAGAGUCAUGGGAGCUUUUUUUGUACUAUUUCCAACCUCAUUUCUCUUCCUGCUUGGCAGCUACAUGAUGGCUUACUGUUAUGCCUCUAGUGCUGCUAGCCUUUACUGAAACUCAAAAGCCAUGAGAACUAUUGAACUACAGAGUGGUUUUCAUCACUGGUAAAAUGAACAGUAUUUUCCUGG
This is a long non-coding RNA of Gallus gallus (chicken), 1369 nucleotides long. NCBI's taxonomy places the organism in Eukaryota, Metazoa, Chordata, Aves, Galliformes, Phasianidae. The record is from Ensembl.